This 484-nucleotide ribosomal RNA is filed under the name uncultured bacterium. Its description in RNAcentral is "partial 16S ribosomal RNA". It matches the Rfam family "Bacterial small subunit ribosomal RNA", at positions 30 to 507 of the family's 1533-position model. The record is from RNAcentral.
AUUGAACGCUGGCGGCAGGCCUAACACAUGCAAGUCGAGCGGAUGAAGGGAGCUUGCUCCUGGAUUCAGCGGCGGACGGGUGAGUAAUGCCUAGGAAUCUGCCUGGUAGCGGGGGAUAACGUCCGGAAACGGGCGCUAAUACCGCAUACGUCCUGAGGGAGAAAGUGGGGGAUCUUCGGACCUCACGCUAUCAGAUGAGCCUAGGUCGGAUUAGCUAGUUGGUGGGGUAAAGGCCUACCAAGGCGACGAUCCGUAACUGGUCUGAGAGGAUGAUCAGUCACACUGGAACUGAGACACGGUCCAGACUCCUACGGGAGGCAGCAGUGGGGAAUAUUGGACAAUGGGCGAAAGCCUGAUCCAGCCAUGCCGCGUGUGUGAAGAAGGUCUUCGGAUUGUAAAGCACUUUAAGUUGGGAGGAAGGGCAGUAAGUUAAUACCUUGCUGUUUUGACGUUACCAACAGAAUAAGCACCGGCUAACUUCGUG